Molecule: transfer RNA, 62 nt
Filed under: Napeogenes lycora lycora
Lineage: Eukaryota; Metazoa; Arthropoda; Insecta; Lepidoptera; Nymphalidae
Description: tRNA-Leu
Source: RNAcentral
UAUGACAGAUUAUAUGUGAUGGAUUAAACCCCCAUUUAUAAAGGACUAUCCUUUUUUUAGAA